RNAcentral lists this unclassified non-coding RNA (203 nucleotides) under Ascomycota sp. RNAcentral's name for it is "partial contains small subunit ribosomal RNA, internal transcribed spacer 1, and 5.8S ribosomal RNA". The stretch from base 1 to 47 matches the Rfam family "Eukaryotic small subunit ribosomal RNA", at positions 1785 to 1831 of the family's 1831-position model. Lineage: Eukaryota; Fungi; Ascomycota. The record is from RNAcentral.
AAAGUCGUAACAAGGUCUCCGUAGGUGAACCUGCGGAGGGAUCAUUAACGAACGGCCUCAGGGCCUGAAACCCUCAAACCUGUGGAAGGAAGCCGUGCUUCGGCGACCCGGUCAGACCGGGUCGCCGCAUUUAUGCCAUACGUUGUUUUUGCGUCUGAAUUAAAAAGGAUUAAAAACUUUCAACAAAGGAUCUCUUGGCUCUC